AUUGAACGCUGGCGGCAUGCCUUACACAUGCAAGUCGAACGGCAGCAUGGAGAGCUUGCUCUCUGAUGGCGAGUGGCGAACGGGUGAGUAAUGCAUCGGAACGUACCGUGUAAUGGGGGAUAACGUAGCGAAGGUUACGCUAAUACCGCAUACGACCUGAGGGUGAAAGCAGGGGAUCGCAAGACCUUGCGUUAUACGAGCGGCCGAUGUCAGAUUAGCUAGUUGGUGAGGAAAAGGCUCACCAAGGCGACGAUCUGUAGCGGGUCUGAGAGGAUGAUCCGCCACACUGGGACUGAGACACGGCCCAGACUCCUACGGGAGGCAGCAGUGGGGAAUUUUGGACAAUGGGGGCAACCCUGAUCCAGCCAUGCCGCGUGAGUGAAGAAGGCCUUCGGGUUGUAAAGCUCUUUCGGCCGGGAAGAAAUCGCACAGGCUAAUACUCUGUGUGGAUGACGGUACCGGCAUAAGAAGCACCGGCUAACCACGUGCCAGCCGCCGCAGUAA
RNAcentral lists this ribosomal RNA (504 nucleotides) under uncultured bacterium. RNAcentral describes it as "partial 16S ribosomal RNA". It matches the Rfam family "Bacterial small subunit ribosomal RNA", at positions 30 to 523 of the family's 1533-position model. The record is from RNAcentral.